UCUACAGGAUAUCAGAAUUCUAAGAAAAACUUGGAAAUCAUGUUCAGGACUAUACAGGACUUUAAAAGCUUUAUCUUCCCAAACUGAAAACCAGACCUCUCAAGUCUAGCUGCUCUCCUCCAGGUGCUGCAUAAAUGGACCUGGUCUUUGGCUACCUUACUUUGGAUCACUUGGUUGAAACAGUUCCCUUAGUCAACUUGUCCACUGGACUUAAGCUGUGGGACACAGAAAUUUUCCCUGGAAGAACAGAACAAUGAAGAUGAAUAGUUGAAAAAUGAGGCUAUACAAGCAUGAUGACAGUACCUGCUCGGCUUCUGGCACUUCUGCAAGUCUCAGAGUCUAAAGGCUGAAAAACCUGGAGUCUGAUGUCCAAGGGCAGGAGGAGAGGAAGCAAGCAUCUGACAUGGAAAGAAAGUGGGAGCCAGAAGACUCAGCAAGCAAGACUACCCCCAUGACUUCUUCCACCUAGGUCUUCCUCUUCCAGUCCACUGACCCAAAUGUAAAUUUCCUUUGGCAACAUCCUCACAGACACACCCCAAAACAAUACUUUGCCAGCCAUCUAGGAAUCCUUUAAUCCAGUCAGGAUGACAACUAAUGUUAACCAUCACAGCAUUUUCUAAAGAGAAUCCUGCAUUCUAAAGGAUCUAGUCUGGAUGCCAGGAGCUGUGUAUAGGAUGAGAGCCUGGUGGACCUGAUUGACCGCCUGUUGUUCAGUUCAGUUCAGAGACUGAAAAUCAGGAUUUGUGCUGGAGAGUCUUUGAACUGUGUGUGAAAGUAUCUGAAGGUCCAUGACAAUUUGAAAGGUUUGAGCACACAAUGAAAUGAGUUGAUAUUGACUGUUGGGAACCAGAGUUCUCAGUGGAUGAAGAGACACAGAAAAAUAAAAUGAAGGAAGGCAAAGAAGAUCUCUGAAGAGAUGGAUUGGAAUUGGAAGCAUUAGUAUGAACCAUGAUUCUAAAAUAGUUAUAUAUUGAUGUCUAUGCUUGUAUAUAUCCAGAAGUUUAUGUAUGUAUGUUUAAAUGUGUGUGUAAUAUAUAUGUAUACAUAUAUGUACACAUGUAUAUAUUUCCUAGCUUUGUCUACUGAAAGGGUCCACAAGCAAAAUCUUGUAGCGGAUCUUGGUCUCUAAGAUUGUUCCCUGUUAAAAAAAAAACAGGAUCCGUUGGAGAAAUUGCUGAUUCCAGUGCUGUAGCAGAAAAGGUAAUACAUGAUCCUAAAAUCAGUAGUCUCAUUCUGUUAGAUUACUGUGGGGUUCAGUAUGGUAGCCACUAGUCUCUUGUGCUAUUUAUUUAUUUAUUUUUAUUAUUAUGCUUUAAGUUCUAGGGUACAUGUGUACAGCAUGCAGGUUUGUUGCAUAUGUAUACAUCUGCCAUGUUGGUGUGCUGCACCCAUUAACUGGCAAUUUACAUUAGGUAAAUCUCCUAAUGCUAUCCCUGCUCCCUCCCCCAACCCCAUGUCAGGCCCCAGUAUGUGAUGAUCCUCAUCCUGUGUCCAAGUGUUUUCAUUGUUCAGUUCCCACCUGUGAGUGAGAACAUGCAGUGUUUGGUUUUCUAUCCUUGCGAUAGUUUGCUCAGAAUGAUGGUUUCUAAUUUCAUCCAUGUCCCUACAAAGGACAUGAACUCAUCCUUUUUUAUGGCUGCAUAGUAUUCCACGGUGUAUAUGUGCCACAUUUUC
Molecule: long non-coding RNA, 1674 nt
Filed under: Homo sapiens (human)
Lineage: Eukaryota; Metazoa; Chordata; Mammalia; Primates; Hominidae
Description: HSALNT0109530
Source: RNAcentral